RNAcentral lists this ribosomal RNA (347 nucleotides) under uncultured fungus. Its description in RNAcentral is "SSU rRNA". It matches the Rfam family "Eukaryotic small subunit ribosomal RNA", at positions 20 to 370 of the family's 1831-position model. Lineage: Eukaryota; Fungi. The record is from RNAcentral.
GUAGUCAUAUGCUUGUCUCAAAGAUUAAGCCAUGCAUGUCUAAGUAUAAGCACUUUAUACGGUGAAACUGCGAAUGGCUCAUUAAAUCAGUUAUCGUUUAUUUGAUAGUGCCUUACUACAUGGAUACCUGUGGUAAUUCUAGAGCUAAUACAUGCUGAAAACCUCGACUUCGGAAGGGGUGUAUUUAUUAGAUAAAAAACCAACGCCCUUCGGGGCUCCUUGGUGAUUCAUGAUAACUUAACGAAUCGCAUGGCCUUGCGCCGGCGAUGGUUCAUUCAAAUUUCUGCCCUAUCAACUUUCGAUGGUAGGAUAGUGGCCUACCAUGGUGGCAACGGGUAACGGGGAAU